Capsicum annuum is the source of this 2878-nucleotide long non-coding RNA. RefSeq lists it as uncharacterized. The record is from RefSeq and is a predicted model, not a curated record. NCBI's taxonomy places the organism in Eukaryota, Viridiplantae, Streptophyta, Magnoliopsida, Solanales, Solanaceae. The transcript has 7 exons.
UAAAAAGGGGAAAGGAGUUCACUGAAAGCAAUUCCAGGAACAAAAGCAACCUAUCACUUUUUCUUUUAUUUCCUUUCCAUUUGUGACAUCAAAAGAAAUAAAAAGUAAAGUUAUUGAAAGAAAGAAAAAAGACAUCGGAGAAGGGAUCCCCGUAGCCUUAAGGAGCAUAUGAGCUAGGAAAUUUUGUGGCUACUCCAAAGUAUCUCAAGAAUUAGUUUAAACAAUCUCUAGUUGGAAAUUUGAACUCCAAGAGCUAGUGAAUUGCGUAUCGAAUAGAAGCUGCUAGUGGUUGGAAGGAUAAAGGCUUCAAUAUCGCGGGUUAAAUUAUUUGAGGCUCAAAUUACUAUCGUAGUUAAUAAAGCAUUAAGGCUCAGAUCCUCAGGAUAGCAGACGUCCACAUUAUGCCCUAUUGCCGCUUUCAACUAAUAUUUUGUUUUCUUAUGCAGCCCCAGAUCCUUAGGAUAGCAGACGUCCACAUUAGGCCAUGUUGCCGCUUUCAGCUGAUAUUUUGGUUAUCGGCAACACUGAUAAAUCAAUAGGCAUUGAGUCUGGUGAUGCUACAAUGGAGGAUGUUUAUUUUGAUUGGAACCGCAGUCCUAUACAUCAACAAUCUGAGGUUACACAUCUCAUAUUUUAAUGCUUUCAAUUAAAACAAUAAACUUAGUUAUGUAUAUGUUUUAUGUUAUCUCUACAAGGAUAUUGAAGGAUGUAGUGAGAAUAUUGAAACUGUCACAUUAGAUGCUCUUGUCGAAUCUGUGGAAAAUCAAAAAUCGAAUAACCCUAAUAUUGGAACAUCUAGUACCGUGAAUAUCCAUAAAGAUCAUAUGGUAAAUACAUGAAGUCAUUUUUUUCAUAUAUAGGUCAAAUAUGUUAAAAAUCUCAUAUUUUAAUGCUUACAAUUAAAACAAUAAGAAUUAAAACAAUAAGAUGACUUACUUUUAUAUAUGUUUUAUGUUAUCUAUUCAAGAAUAUUGAAGGAGGUAGUGCGGAUAUUAGAACUGCCACAUUCGAUGCUCUCGUCAAAGCUGUGGAAAAUAAGAAACCUAAUAAUGUUAAUGUUGGAACAUCUAAUACGGUGCAUAUCCAUAAAGAUCAGUGGGUAAACUCAUAAAAUCAUUUUUUUAAAUUACGUGUCUAAUUUUUCACAUAUGACACUACUUUUACUAAUGCUUUUAACCAAAACUAACACUAAAAACAUAAUAUUUAAUGUUAAGAUGAUUACUCAAGUACACUUCCUAAAUCUGCUCAAGAUGAGUUAGAUGCCAUAUUAGAAGGUCUUGCAGCACCGGUGAAUGAACUACCUCUAGAAGUCGCUCCCCCGUCAAAAGAAAUCGUGACUCAACACCCUAUAUCUGAUAGUCAAUUUCCUCCAGAUUUUUUUGAUGCAGUUGUUGCAGCUCAUAAAGCUAUAAAAACCCCUGCUAAGAGAACCAGGACUGAAUCCAAAGUUUUAAAGUCAUCAUACUUGACAGAAUUUGCUUCUGGUUCAAAAGUCAUUGAGGAUCAAACCGAAGAAAUGAAAUAGAAAUUCGCAUUUGAUGGUUUUCUAAUAUCUGGCUAUAUGCCAAGGGGUGUAAUUAAACAGUACAAACAGUGGAUUAAGGAAGGUAUAUUGAAGUUUCAUGCUAAAAAGUAAGUUUUAUCAUUAGUAAAGUGGAAAUUUUUGUCAAUAGGAGUAUACUACUAUUUUUUUCGUACUAACAAAAUUUUUUUAUAUAUAUAAAAAUGAAUGAUGAUCACUACAAAGCAAAAGCCUCUGCUCUUGGAGCUCAAGAUAUCGAUUUUGUUGUUGCUCAUGCAUGAUCAAAGAAUUGAUUUUUCUUGAUGUCUCAAAUGAAUUCAUGUUGGAAUGAUGAGCAUAUUGAUGUGAUAUUCUAUCACUUGAGAAAGAAAUCAAAAUUAAGGGAAGAUCAAGAAUACAGAUUCACAACAACAAAUUAUUUUUUCAAAAACUACAUUGGAAGACAUACUAUAGAUAUUAUCACGGUGAUAUAGAUACAGUACUUUCUACACCAUGGAAUUAUGCUCAGUCUAUAGUUGUGGCCCAAAAUGAAGAGGCAAUAACAAACAUAAUCAAGGGAUAUUGCAUGCCAGCUGGGUUGCCAUGGCACCUAGUUGAUGAGGUGUAUAUUCCCGUCAAUUGCAAUAAAAAGUUUCAUUGGGUGUUAGCUGUUAUUGCCUUAAAGGAUAGAAGCAUAUGCGUCUAUGACUCACUGUCCAAUCUAAGAAAUAUGGAAUCCAUUAUUGAGAUCCACAAGUUGGUUGUGGUGUUGCCAACUUACUUGUCUUACAACGGAUAUUUUUAAAAAACAUCUCGUACAAAUUGGGCAAAUCUUGAAGCAUAUAGGGAUAAGAUGAGUCAAAAGACACAGUUUGUGAAUCAACAUCCCUUCGAGGUUGAGUAUGUACAAAACAUUAUGCAACAAUAAUGUGACAGCGUGAAUUAUAGAGUCUUUAUUGCUGGGUAUGCAGAAUACCUAAGUGAAGGAAUGGACGUGUCUUCUGUUGGUUUUGAAGCAGAAUACCAUCGAAUGUGAUACGCGUCACUCCUUUGGAAUUACGGUAUUCGAAAAGCAAAGAAAGGUUAUAUUAGUGAAAAUAAUGACCCUCCAAGACCAAGGACAAAAACUAUACCAUUUUCUGAUGAAAGUGGAAUAGUUAGCAUUGAGUAGUCUUAGUGAUGAAAUAGUGAAGACUUUUUCUAUGAAUUUGUUAGGAAUGUUGAAUGUUAAACUACUUUAGAUGUUUUGAACGGCAGAAUACAAAGAAUUUAUUUUUAGAGAUGAAUAUGAUGGAGACCUUUUUUUCUAUGAAUUUGUUAGGAAUGUUGAAUUUGAUGUUUCAAACAAAGAUAUGUUUGAACGAUGAGGAAAAAAUU